Molecule: ribosomal RNA, 378 nt
Filed under: Triticum aestivum (bread wheat)
Lineage: Eukaryota; Viridiplantae; Streptophyta; Magnoliopsida; Poales; Poaceae
Description: partial small subunit ribosomal RNA
Source: RNAcentral
AUGUGGGAUGCAGUCAUAGAGGUUUUGGGCAUUGUUGAGGAUGAUGUGCGUGUUCCAUGUAGGGCUGGAGGUUUGGUUCAUCAAAUGGAGACUUUUAGCUUUGUGUUCAUCCUAAAGAUGAUGCUUAAAAUCCUUCGCAUGACAAAUGUUUUGUCUCUUCUAUUGCAAAAGAAGGAUCAAAAUAUUGUUCAGGCAAUGUCAUUGGUUACGGAUGUGAGAACACGUUUGAUCAACUGGAGAAAUAAUGGUUGGAAGACACUCUUGGAAGAUGUCAAAGCCUUUUGCGCCAAAAACGACAUUCCCAUACCAAAUAUGGAUGACAUCUUCACAAAGUGGGGGAAAUCAAGAAAAAGGUGGACGAAACAAUGUCACGGCUGA